This 24-nucleotide non-coding RNA is filed under the name Arabidopsis thaliana (thale cress). The record is from RNAcentral. Lineage: Eukaryota; Viridiplantae; Streptophyta; Magnoliopsida; Brassicales; Brassicaceae.
CCCACCCAUUGAGGGAAAAUGGCC